GCCUUCUGUCUGAAUCAUGAUUAUAACAAAUGAUAAAACUUUCAACAACGGAUCUCUUGGUUCUCGCAUCGAUGAAGAACGCAGCGAAAUGCGAUAAGUAGUGUGAAUUGCAGAAUUCAGUGAAUCAUCGAAUCUUUGAACGCACAUUGCGCCUCCUGGUAUUCCGGGAAGCAUGCC
RNAcentral lists this ribosomal RNA (177 nucleotides) under Otidea rainierensis. Its description in RNAcentral is "5.8S ribosomal RNA". The stretch from base 37 to 177 matches the Rfam family "5.8S ribosomal RNA". Rfam says of the family: 5.8S ribosomal RNA (5.8S rRNA) is a component of the large subunit of the eukaryotic ribosome. The record is from RNAcentral. Lineage: Eukaryota; Fungi; Ascomycota; Pezizomycetes; Pezizales; Pyronemataceae.